UGGGGAAUAUUGCACAAUGAGGGAAACCCUGAUGCAGCGACGCCGCGUGAACGAAGAAGGUAUUCGUAUCGUAAAGUUCUGUCCUAUGGGAAGAUAAUGACAGUACCAUAGAAGAAAGCUCCGGCUAAAUACGUGCCAGCAGCCGCGGUAAUACGUAUAGAGCGAGCGUUGUCCGGAAUUAUUGGGCGUAAAGGGUACGCAGGCGGUUUAAUAAGUCGAAUGUUAAAGAUCGGGGCUCAACCCCGCAAAGCAUUGGAAACUGAUAAACUUGAGUAGUGGAGAGGAAAGUGGAAUUCCUAGUGUAGUGGUGAAAUACGUAGAUAUUAGGAGGAAUACCAGUAGCGAAGGCGACUUUCUGGACACAAACUGACGCUGAGGUACGAAAGCGUGGGGAGCAAACAGG
This 403-nucleotide ribosomal RNA is filed under the name bacterium. RNAcentral's name for it is "partial 16S ribosomal RNA". It matches the Rfam family "Bacterial small subunit ribosomal RNA", at positions 355 to 776 of the family's 1533-position model. The record is from RNAcentral.